RNAcentral lists this ribosomal RNA (40 nucleotides) under Hodophilus hymenocephalus. RNAcentral's name for it is "partial 5.8S ribosomal RNA". Lineage: Eukaryota; Fungi; Basidiomycota; Agaricomycetes; Agaricales; Clavariaceae. The record is from RNAcentral.
CAACUUUCAACAACGGAUCUCUUGGUUCUCGCAUCGAUGA